GUACCUUUCUUGGUUGAUCCCUUUCACUGUAUGGCGUGCUCGUUUGGGUUGGGCGUCGGCUAAGAGUGCUCAGAGCGUGGAUUAACUCCAGUCUCCUAUUAGGUAAUCCUUAAGCUUAGAUGGUUUGGAGCUACGAGGGACUCGGAGAUGGCCACACUACUGUUUCUAUUUCUUUUAAUUGCAAUAAGUAACCGGUU
Molecule: long non-coding RNA, 197 nt
Organism: Gossypium arboreum
Lineage: Eukaryota; Viridiplantae; Streptophyta; Magnoliopsida; Malvales; Malvaceae
Exons: 2
Source: RefSeq, a predicted model, not a curated record